Molecule: unclassified non-coding RNA, 305 nt
Filed under: plant metagenome
Description: partial contains 5.8S ribosomal RNA, internal transcribed spacer 2, and large subunit ribosomal RNA
Rfam family: 5.8S ribosomal RNA (bases 1-105)
Source: RNAcentral
GAAAUGCGAUAAGUAGUGUGAAUUGCAGAAUUCAGUGAAUCAUCGAAUCUUUGAACGCACAUUGCGCCCUUUGGAAUUCCUUAGGGCAUGCCUGUUCGAGCGUCAUCUAAACCUUCAAGCCCUGCUUGGUGUUGGGUGCCUGUCCCGCCUCCGCGCGCGGACUCACCUCAAAUCCAUUGGCGGCCCCCGCGUCGGCCACGAGCGCAGCAGAAACGCGAACUCGUGAGCCCGUCCGGGCGGCUCCCAGAAGCUACACCCACCCAGUUUGACCUCGGAUCAGGUAGGGAUACCCGCUGAACUUAAGC